CAAAAGCUACAAAUCUCACAACUCACAAGCCAAAAGCGUUAUAUCUCGCUCUCGCUAUUGCUCCUCUCUCUCAGCAAACUCAGCUCCUCACAGGAUCUCUCUCUCUGUUGCUGAGAAAACCUUUCUAUUUCUCUAUUAUUUUCUCGACAACCAAACAGAUUGCUUGGCUUCUGUUGAUUUUGCUUUGUUUCAAAUUCACCAAGCUAGUACCAUUACAUCCAAAUCUUUUAUAUAUUCACAAUUUUCCCUAUCAAAAAUCUUUGAUUAGGAUGGCACAUUGUCUUAGAGCAUCUGACAAAGAUGAUGUUUUUGAUGCCAAUAGAACCUUGAGAAGGUGUGAAGUUGGUGUUGAUCGUGAUGAAGGCAUGUAGCAAAUUAUGCAACACCCCUUGAGAAGCAAAGGGCUUGGGCAAUUGUGACCUUUGAACAGAAAACUCCUGUGAUACUUGUUUCAUUGUGGGGCGGGAUUUGGG
Molecule: long non-coding RNA, 473 nt
Organism: Quercus lobata
Lineage: Eukaryota; Viridiplantae; Streptophyta; Magnoliopsida; Fagales; Fagaceae
Exons: 3
Source: RefSeq, a predicted model, not a curated record